GAUUCGUUGUAGUAUAGUGGUAAGUAUUCCCGCCUGUCACGUGGGUGACUCGGGUUCGAUCCCUGGCAACGACGCC
This 76-nucleotide transfer RNA is filed under the name Helianthus annuus (common sunflower). Its description in RNAcentral is "tRNA-Asp". It matches the Rfam family "tRNA". From Rfam's summary of the family: Transfer RNA (tRNA) molecules are approximately 80 nucleotides in length. Their secondary structure includes four short double-helical elements and three loops (D, anti-codon, and T loops). The record is from RNAcentral. Lineage: Eukaryota; Viridiplantae; Streptophyta; Magnoliopsida; Asterales; Asteraceae.